Molecule: non-coding RNA, 721 nt
Organism: Jatropha curcas
Lineage: Eukaryota; Viridiplantae; Streptophyta; Magnoliopsida; Malpighiales; Euphorbiaceae
Source: RefSeq, a predicted model, not a curated record
UGGGGUUAUACAAUAAAUAUUUAAUUUUUUGUUAAACAGGAACCGUAAACCGGCUUAAAGUUUUCGGAAACCAAGAGAAAAGAAAAAAAACAGAUAACCAAACAAAAAUCGAGCUAAAUUGUUGAGUUGGACCAAAACGGUUCAAAUCGAACCGGAAUGGCCCAGAACUCUCUAGACCCAUCUUCCCCUCUCUUUUUCUCUCUUCUUCUCUUCUUCUUAGCGCACGCAAGGAGCAGUGCCGCUUCUCCCUCCCUCUCCUCGUUUCCGGCCACGCUCAACGAAGGCUAGGUGGCGGUCGGCUCGUCUGGUGCUGGUGGUCGUGUCUCCAGCCUCCUCUCGCGCGGAAAGAGCGUCAAUGGGAGCGAAACGGAGUUGUUGCCCUCGACAGCUCGUGCUCACCAAAUUCCGGCGAUCCACACCAUUUCCGGCAGCUUCAAGGCGAGGGACAUGCUUCAAUCGACUCCUCUCUUCCCAGCGAGUCUCUUUCUCCCAUCAGUUUCGGCGACAAAGCUUGCCUGACGAAAACGCCAUGAACGGCGGUGGCGAAGCCACUGUCAGGGUCAUUUUCGGCGAAACAAGGCUCACCCAGUCCAAAUUGAUCACGGAUCCGGAGUCCCCGUGAGAUUCCAAGUAUUGUAAAAUUCUGGGCAAAAGUCAGUUUUCCAACUGAUGCCUUUUUUUUAAAUAAAAUGAAAUAAAAUAAAAUGAUCCUUUUUUUUAA